CACGCCUAACACAUGCAAGUCGAACGAAGUAGCAAUACUUAGUGGCAGACGGGUGAGUAACAUGUAGGUAUCUGCCCUUUGGCCUGGAAUAACACGAGGAAACUUGUGCUAAUACCGGAUAAGUCUUUACGGAGAAAGCUUUAUGCACCAUUGGAUGAGCCUGCACUUGAUUAGUUUGUUGGUGGGGUAAUGGCCUACCAAGACUGUGAUCAAUAGCUGAUUUGAGAGGAUGAUCAGCCACAUUGGGACUGAGACACGGCCCAAACUCCUACGGGAGGCAGCAGUGGGGAAUCUUGCACAAUGGAGGAAACUCUGAUGCAGCGAUGCCGCGUGAGUGAAGAAGGCCCUUGGGUUGUAAAGCUCUUUCGUCGGGGAAGAAAAUGACUGUACCCGAAUAAGAAGGUCCGGCUAACUUCGUGCCAGCAGCCGCGGUAAUACGAAGGGACCUAGCGUAGUUCGGAAUUACUGGGCUUAAAGAGUUCGUAGGUGGUUGAAAAAGUUAGUGGUGAAAUCCCAGAGCUUAACUCUGGAACUGCCAUUAAAACUUUUCAGCUAGAGUAUGAUAGAGGAAAGCAGAAUUUCUAGUGUAGAGGUGAAAUUCGUAGAUAUUAGAAAGAAUACCAAUUGCGAAGGCAGCUUUCUGGAUCAUUACUGACACUGAGGAACGAAAGCAUGGGUAGCGAAGAGGAUUAGAUACCCUCGUAGUCCAUGCCGUAAACGAUGUGUGUUAGACGUUGGAAAUUUAUUUUCAGUGUCGCAGGGAAACCGAUAAACACACCGCCUGGGGAGUACGA
This 794-nucleotide ribosomal RNA is filed under the name marine metagenome. RNAcentral describes it as "bacterial SSU rRNA". It matches the Rfam family "Bacterial small subunit ribosomal RNA", at positions 43 to 885 of the family's 1533-position model. The record is from RNAcentral.